UAUUUGCGUUAGGGAUAGCAGUGGAAAGCCCGGAGCGUAGCGAGGACUUGCAACGUAUAGCCCGGCCGUAG
Molecule: unclassified non-coding RNA, 71 nt
Filed under: Mucilaginibacter polytrichastri
Lineage: Bacteria; Pseudomonadati; Bacteroidota; Sphingobacteriia; Sphingobacteriales; Sphingobacteriaceae
Description: Flavo-1 RNA
Source: RNAcentral